This 760-nucleotide ribosomal RNA is filed under the name uncultured Neisseria sp. RNAcentral describes it as "bacterial SSU rRNA". It matches the Rfam family "Bacterial small subunit ribosomal RNA", at positions 28 to 776 of the family's 1533-position model. The record is from RNAcentral. Lineage: Bacteria; Pseudomonadati; Pseudomonadota; Betaproteobacteria; Neisseriales; Neisseriaceae.
AUUGAACGCUGGCGGCAUGCUUUACACAUGCAAGUCGGACGGCAGCACAGAGAAGCUUGCUUCUUGGGUGGCGAGUGGCGAACGGGUGAGUAAUAUAUCGGAACGUGCCGAGUAAUGGGGGAUAACUAAUCGAAAGAUUAGCUAAUACCGCAUAUUCUCUGAGGAGGAAAGCAGGGGACCUUCGGGCCUUGCGUUAUUCGAGCGGCCGAUAUCUGAUUAGCUAGUUGGUGGGGUAAAGGCCUGCCAAGGCGACGAUCAGUAGCGGGUCUGAGAGGAUGAUCCGCCACACUGGGACUGAGACACGGCCCAGACUCCUACGGGAGGCAGCAGUGGGGAAUUUUGGACAAUGGGCGCAAGCCUGAUCCAGCCAUGCCGCGUGUCUGAAGAAGGCCUUCGGGUUGUAAAGGACUUUUGUCAGGGAAGAAAAGGCUGUUGCUAAUACCGACAGCUGAUGACGGUACCUGAAGAAUAAGCACCGGCUAACUACGUGCCAGCAGCCGCGGUAAUACGUAGGGUGCGAGCGUUAAUCGGAAUUACUGGGCGUAAAGCGAGCGCAGACUGGUUACUUAAGCAUGAUGUGAAAUCCCCGGGCUCAACCUGGGAACUGCGUUCUGAACUGGGUGACUAGAGUGUGUCAGAGGGAGGUAGAAUUCCACGUGUAGCAGUGAAAUGCGUAGAGAUGUGGAGGAAUACCGAUGGCUAAGGCAUGCUCCUGGGAUAACACUGACGUUCAUGCUCGAAAGCGGGGGUAGCAAACAGG